CCCUUAGAUGUUCUGGGCUGCACGCGCGCUACACUGAUUAUUUCAACAAGUGUUUUAACUGGAGAGUUUGCGUAAUCCUGAAAUGUUAUCGUGAUGGGAGUAGAGUAUUGUAUUUGUUAAUCUUUAACGAGGAAUUCCUAGUAAGUGUAGGUUUAUAAGUUGUUCUGAUUACGUCCCUGCCCUUUGUACACACCGCCCGUCGCUCCUACCGAUUGAUUGAUCCGGUGAAUUACAUAGAAUUUUGCGUUUUACAUGACGGAAGACGAAGUGUUUUAAACCUUAUCAUUUAGAGGAAGGAGAAGUCGUAACA
RNAcentral lists this ribosomal RNA (310 nucleotides) under uncultured eukaryote. Its description in RNAcentral is "partial 18S ribosomal RNA". It matches the Rfam family "Eukaryotic small subunit ribosomal RNA", at positions 1470 to 1796 of the family's 1831-position model. The record is from RNAcentral.